This 400-nucleotide ribosomal RNA is filed under the name uncultured bacterium. RNAcentral's name for it is "bacterial SSU rRNA". It matches the Rfam family "Bacterial small subunit ribosomal RNA", at positions 355 to 752 of the family's 1533-position model. The record is from RNAcentral.
UGAGGAAUAUUGGUCAAUGGGCGAGAGCCUGAACCAGCCAUGCCGCGUGCAGGAAGACGGUCCUAUGGAUUGUAAACUGCUUUUAUUUGGGAAUAAACUCCGAUACGUGUAUCGGCCUGAAGGUACCAAAUGAAUAAGCACCGGCUAACUCCGUGCCAGCAGCCGCGGUAAUACGGAGGGUGCAAGCGUUAUCCGGAAUCAUUGGGUUUAAAGGGUCCGCAGGCGGAUUUAUAAGUCAGUGGUGAAAGCCCGUUGCUUAACAACGGAACUGCCAUUGAUACUGUAAGUCUUGAAUUCGAUCGAAGUGGGCGGAAUAUGACAUGUAGCGGUGAAAUGCUUAGAUAUGUCAUAGAACACCGAUAGCGAAGGCAGCUCACUAGGUCUGGAUUGACGCUCAGGG